GUGAAAUUGUGAAAGGGAAGCGCUUGCAACCAGACCUGCCUGCAGUUGCUCAUCCGGGCUUUUGCCCGGUGCACUCUUCUGCUGUCAGGCCAGCAUCAGUUCGGGCGGUCGGAUAAAGGCUUCGGGAAUGUAGCUCCUCUCGAGGAGUGUUAUAGCCCGUUGCGAAAUGCGGCCAGCCUGAACUGAGGUCCGCGCUUCGGCUAGGAUGCUGGCGUAAUGGUUGUAAGCGGCCCGUCUUGAAACACGGACCAAGGAGUCUAACAUCUGUGCGAGUGUUUGGGUGUCAAACCCGUACGCGUAAUGAAAGUGAACGGAGGCGGGAACCCCUCGGGGUGCACCGUCGACCGAUCCUGAUGUCUUCGGAUGGAUUUGAGUAAGAGCAUAGCUGUUGGGACCCGAAAGAUGGUGAACUAUGCCUGAAUAGGGUGAAGCCAGAGGAAACUCUGGUGGAGGCUCGCAGCGGUUCUGACGUGCAAAUCGAUCGUCAAAUUUGGGCAUAGGGGCGAAAGACUAAUCGAACUAUCUAGUAGCUGGUUCCUGCCGAAGUUUCCCUCAGGAUAGCAGUAACGUUUUCAGUUUUAUGAGGUAAAGCGAAUGAUUAGAGGCCUGGGGGUUGAAACAACCUUCACCUAUUCUCAAACUUUAAAUAUGUAAGAAGUCCUUGUUGCUUAGUUGAACGUGGACAUUUGAAUGUAUCGUUACUAGUGGGCCAUUUUUGGUAAGCAGAACUGGCGAUGCGGGAUGAACCGAACGCGGAGUUAAGGUGCCGGAAUGCACGCUCAUCAGACACCACAAAAGGUGUUAGUUCAUCUAG
Molecule: ribosomal RNA, 814 nt
Filed under: uncultured Ascomycota
Lineage: Eukaryota; Fungi; Ascomycota
Description: LSU rRNA
Rfam family: Eukaryotic large subunit ribosomal RNA
Source: RNAcentral